CCUACGGGGGGCUGCAGUGGGGAAUAUUGGACAAUGGGGGGAACCCUGAUCCAGCCAUGCCGCGUGUGUGAAGAAGGCCCUCGGGUUGUAAAGCACUUUCAGUGAGGAAGAACGCCUGGUGGUUAAUACCCAUCAGGAAAGACAUCACUCACAGAAGAAGCACCGGCUAACUCCGUGCCAGCAGCCGCGGUAAUACGGAGGGUGCGAGCGUUAAUCGGAAUUACUGGGCGUAAAGCGCGCGUAGGUGGCUUGAUAAGCCGGUUGUGAAAGCCCCGGGCUCAACCUGGGAACGGCAUCCGGAACUGUCAAGCUAGAGUGCAGGAGAGGAAGGUAGAAUUCCCGGUGUAGCGGUGAAAUGCGUAGAGAUCGGGAGGAAUACCAGUGGCGAAGGCGGCCUUCUGGACUGACACUGACACUGAGGUGCGAAAGCGUGGGUAGCAAACAGGAUUAGAUACCCUUGUAGUC
RNAcentral lists this ribosomal RNA (465 nucleotides) under Vreelandella stevensii. RNAcentral describes it as "partial 16S ribosomal RNA". It matches the Rfam family "Bacterial small subunit ribosomal RNA", at positions 338 to 795 of the family's 1533-position model. The record is from RNAcentral. Lineage: Bacteria; Pseudomonadati; Pseudomonadota; Gammaproteobacteria; Oceanospirillales; Halomonadaceae.